RNAcentral lists this ribosomal RNA (405 nucleotides) under uncultured bacterium. RNAcentral describes it as "bacterial SSU rRNA". It matches the Rfam family "Bacterial small subunit ribosomal RNA", at positions 355 to 774 of the family's 1533-position model. The record is from RNAcentral.
UGGGGGAUAUUGCACAAUGGAGGAAACUCUGAUGCAGCAACGCCGCGUGAGGGAAGAAGGUCUUCGGAUUGUAAACCUCAGUAGUCAGGGACGAAAGAAAUGACGGUACCUGAAGAGUAAGCUCCGGCUAACUACGUGCCAGCAGCCGCGGUAAUACGUAGGGAGCGAGCGUUGUCCGGAUUUACUGGGUGUAAAGGGUGCGUAGGCGGGAUAGCAAGUCAGACGUGAAAUACCGAGGCUUAACUUCGGGGCUGCGUUUGAAACUGGUACUCUUGAGUGAAGUAGAGGCAGGCGGAAUUACUAGUGUAGCGGUGAAAUGCGUAGAUAUUAGGAGGAACACCAGUGGCGAAGGCGGCCUGCUGGGCUUUAACUGACGCUGAGGCACGAAAGCAUGGGGAGCAAACA